This 409-nucleotide ribosomal RNA is filed under the name bacterium. RNAcentral describes it as "partial 16S ribosomal RNA". It matches the Rfam family "Bacterial small subunit ribosomal RNA", at positions 355 to 776 of the family's 1533-position model. The record is from RNAcentral.
UGGGGAAUAUUGCACAAUGGGCGAAAGCCUGAUGCAGCGACGCCGCGUGAGGGAUGACGGCCUUCGGGUUGUAAACCUCUUUCAGCAGGGACGAAGCGCAAGUGACGGUACCUGCAGAAGAAGCACCGGCUAACUACGUGCCAGCAGCCGCGGUAAUACGCAGGGUGCAAGCGUUGUCCGGAAUUACUGGGCGUAAAGAGUUCGUAGGCGGUUUGUCGCGUCGUUUGUGAAAACCAGCAGCUCAACUGCUGGCUUGCAGGCGAUACGGGCAGACUUGAGUACUGCAGGGGAGACUGGAAUUCCUGGUGUAGCGGUGAAAUGCGCAGAUAUCAGGAGGAACACCGGUGGCGAAGGCGGGUCUCUGGGCAGUAACUGACGCUGAGGAACGAAAGCGUGGGUAGCGAACAGG